Molecule: ribosomal RNA, 1379 nt
Filed under: uncultured bacterium
Lineage: Bacteria
Description: 16S ribosomal RNA
Rfam family: Bacterial small subunit ribosomal RNA
Source: RNAcentral
UUCGCCCUUAGAGUUUGAUCCUGGCUCAGGACGAACGCUGGCGGCGUGCCUAACACAUGCAAGUCGAACGGACGAGGAGGAGCUUGCUUCUCCAAGUCAGUGGUGGACGGGUGAGUAACGCGUGAGUAACCUGCCCUUCAGAGGGGGAUAACGUCUGGAAACGGACGCUAAUACCGCAUGACAUAUUUCCAUCGCAUGGUGGAGAUAUCAAAGGAGCAAUCCGCUGAAGGAUGGACUCGCGUCCGAUUAGAUAGUUGGCGGGGUAACGGCCCACCAAGUCGACGAUCGGUAGCCGGACUGAGAGGUUGAACGGCCACAUUGGGACUGAGACACGGCCCAGACUCCUACGGGAGGCAGCAGUGGGGGAUAUUGCACAAUGGGCGAAAGCCUGAUGCAGCAACGCCGCGUGAGGGAAGAAGGUCUUCGGAUUGUAAACUCCUGUUGUUGAGGAAGAUAAUGACGGUACUCAACAAGGAAGUGACGGCUAACUACGUGCCAGCAGCCGCGGUAAAACGUAGGUCACAAGCGUUGUCCGGAAUUACUGGGUGUAAAGGGAGCGCAGGCGGGAAGACAAGUUGGAAGUGAAAUCUAUGGGCUCAACCCAUAAACUGCUUUCAAAACUGUUUUUCUUGAGUAGUGCAGAGGUAGGCGGAAUUCCCGGUGUAGCGGUGGAAUGCGUAGAUAUCGGGAGGAACACCAGUGGCGAAGGCGGCCUACUGGGCACCAACUGACGCUGAGGCUCGAAAGUGUGGGUAGCAAACAGGAUUAGAUACCCUGGUAGUCCACACCGUAAACGAUGAUUACUAGGUGUUGGAGGAUUGACCCCUUCAGUGCCGCAGUUAACACAAUAAGUAAUCCACCUGGGGAGUACGACCGCAAGGUUGAAACUCAAAGGAAUUGACGGGGGCCCGCACAAGCAGUGGAGUAUGUGGUUUAAUUCGACGCAACGCGAAGAACCUUACCAAGUCUUGACAUCCUGCGACGCACAUAGAAAUAUGUGUUUCCUUCGGGACGCAGAGACAGGUGGUGCAUGGUUGUCGUCAGCUCGUGUCGUGAGAUGUUGGGUUAAGUCCCGCAACGAGCGCAACCCUUAUGGUCAGUUACUACGCAAGAGGACUCUGGCCAGACUGCCGUUGACAAAACGGAGGAAGGUGGGGAUGACGUCAAAUCAUCAUGCCCUUUAUGACUUGGGCUACACACGUACUACAAUGGCGUUAAACAAAGAGAAGCAAGACCGCGAGGUGGAGCAAAACUCAGAAACAACGUCCCAGUUCGGACUGCAGGCUGCAACUCGCCUGCACGAAGUCGGAAUUGCUAGUAAUCGCAGAUCAGCAUGCUGCGGUGAAUACGUUCCCGGGCCUUGCACACACCGCCCGUCA